This is a non-coding RNA of Picea glauca (white spruce), 119 nucleotides long. The record is from Rfam. Lineage: Eukaryota; Viridiplantae; Streptophyta; Pinopsida; Pinales; Pinaceae.
GUAAAUGCUUAUAACAUAGCGUUAAUGCACCAGAUCCCCUUAGAACUCUGCGGUUAAGCAUGCUUGGGAUAGAGUAGUAUUGGGAUGGGUGAUCGUCUAGGAAGUCCUAGUGUUUUACA